Molecule: ribosomal RNA, 253 nt
Filed under: uncultured bacterium
Lineage: Bacteria
Description: partial 16S ribosomal RNA
Rfam family: Bacterial small subunit ribosomal RNA
Source: RNAcentral
GACGAACCGUGCGAACGUUGUUCGGAUUCACUGGGCUUAAAGGGCGCGUAGGCGGCUUGGCAAGUGGAUGGUGAAAUCCCUCGGCUUAACCGAGGAACUGCCGUCCAAACUGCUUAGCUUGAGACCGGGAGAGGUGAGUGGAAUUCCCAGUGUAGCGGUGAAAUGCGUAGAUAUUGGGAGGAACACCAGUGGCGAAGGCGGCUCACUGGACCGGUACUGACGCUGAGGCGCGACAGCGUGGGGAGCAAACAGG